UGUUGUGAUUAUUUAUAGGGUGCGUGUGUCAUGGUAUGUACAUAUGGUGGUGUAUCGGUGAUAUAAAUCAUACGUUAAAGAGCAGUGAUUCCAAACCUUGGUGGAACCCCUCCCAUGAAUUUUCAUUUUCCAAGGCACCCUUGUUAAUAGUGUUCUAAUGCAAGAUAUGAUCGUCUGUUUUUUUUUAGUUAUUAAGCAAUGUAUACUGAGUUUGGAAUUCAAGAUUGCAUCAAAUGAGCUAAUAUGAUAGACUUGGUGAAAAGUCAUACUGUAAUAGCACAGGAUUAUUUUACGAUUUUUUGGAGAACCCUUGGUGAUGGUCGCCGGAAGCCCCCAGGGUUCUACGAGCUCCUAGUUGGUGAUCUAAGUUAUAGAGUGUUGAUUGUCUGUGUUUUUAUUAUUAAACUGUUUUUUUUGUGGCUGCACUGUGUGGCUGCUUGGUGCUGUGACGGCCAGGAUAACAGUACCUGGGUUUGCACCAAACGAGAGGGAAGGCUCGCUAUGAGGCUCUGCUCAUAGGGGUCGUGCAAGCAACGUCGUGGUUAACUGCAUGGUGUGGUGUAGUCAACUGACUGUGUCAAACGCAUAAGCCGGAGUAGUUAUGCAAAGCGUAAGUGAGAACAUGUGUAUGAUUUCUUUGGAAAUCUAAAAACACGGUUUAUGACGAUGGAUGAGGGCGAUGUAAUAUCAGGAGGUGAUGAUUUGUCUGGUGAUCUCAGCACAGACAAGAUUGCAUCAAAUAGUCAAGACCAUCCAGCAAUCCAGUCACUGUCGUCAGGUCAGGAAAGCAAUGAAUUAUCAGACAAUCAAAACACUAAAUCUGCGCCUGAUGAAAUGCUGUGUUCCUUACACAUCAAGAGCAGUGAUAAGUAUCAAGAUUUUGGUAGAGUCAUUUGCUUCAAAGAUGACAAGUUGGCAAAAUGCAAGGAAAUAUUAAUGCUACGAAAACAAAAAAACUUGAAAUAUGCUGACAUAUCCCUGCCAACUGUAGUAGACAGUAUCCAUGGUUAUCACCACGAGUGCUAUAGGAAAUUUACAGCAUUACCAAAGGCUCACAGAUCUGCAACCAAACCUUCGUGUCACAUGAGCCAAGAAAAUCCUUCAUGUCACAUGAGCCAAGAAAAACAAUCACUAAGCUUGAACGAAUCGGCAGCAACAUCGAAAGAGGGCACAUGUGAUUUCCAGCCGAUGUGCUUGUUUUGUGGAUCGGCUAGAAAAAAAAUUAAAAACGUGGAGCAAAAAUUAGUUUCAGCUGAGACAGCCCAGUUUGCUGCAAACAUUCAAGAAUAUGCUGAAAUGAAAGGGGAUGAAAAAUUGUUAACACAGAUAAGAGACCAGGAUUUUGUUGCAAAAGGAUUGAGGUACCACGCCAACUGUCGCUCACUGUACCAGAGUCAAGCAAGGGCAAUGUCCAAAAAUGGAAAUCAACCAAGGACAGGGUACAUAAGCAGAGAGAAAGAAGUUCAUAGAGAGGCUUUUGACUCAUUGAUAUCUUACAUUGAACAGAAUGUAAUUGAGAAGCGCGAGGUGCAUUUGUUAACUGACCUGAACACCUAUUAUACAGCCACUGUUCAUGAAAUAGGUGGUGAGGACUUUCAACAUGCAACCCCAACAGCACAAAAGCUGGAUGAAAAAUUAACCAAACAUUUUGGUGAGAGGAUCGUGGUUCAAAAGGAAAGACAAAACGUGGAAGUAUUGUCCAUUCGUCUGAGAUGUCAAAAGAAGAAGCACUUGCUUUCAAAUUUGAUAAACUCAUGGAUAUUAAAAUGAAAAUCAGAGAUGCAGCAUUGGUACUUCGUGAAGCCAUCAUGAAAGCCCCACAAAAGCAAAUACCUUCAAGUCCGACCAUGCAAGAUAUAAUUGGUGGGGAAGUUGAUGUCCCGGAGUUAGUCCAAGACUUCUUCAAAUACUUAGUUGGUGGUCCAGACUCAAGAAUAUGGAAACAACCAGGAAAACAGCGGCGAAUCAGGGCUAUUAGUCAGGAUGCAGUAUUUUCUGCAACAUCUGGUAAGAAAAAACCAGGAAAGCAUCUGAUUACAGCUCUGGCUAUGAAGAGCAUGACUGGGUGUAGAAAAGUAAUAGAAGUGCUGAACAGAAUGGGUCAUUGUGCCAGUUACCAUACGGCUGAAGAAAUAGAAACUGAACUAACAUUUUCGGUCAAAAAUAAUGACAACGAAAUGCCGUUUGGUAUGCACUCAGGAAAUGAAUAUGGAACUGGAGUAGCCUGGGACAACUUUGAUCGAUUUGUUGAAACUAUGAGCGGCAAGGACACACUUCAUGAUACAGUUGCCAUAGCGUACCAGCUCGUUGAAGCUAAAGCCUCAGCCCAAAAGCCAGAGUCAGAUAGAAUUCACCAUGAGAAUAUUACUGAAACAAAAACAAAAGCAUCCCUGCCAACAAUUGGAGUCGGCCUAAGCAAGAAAAGGCGGCGUUCCUAUGAAACUGAAAGCUCUGAAAUUCAGCCUUAUCAUAAAAAACCACGCCUAGAAAACGCCGGGUUACUGGCUGCCGAUGAUAUCAGACUUCUGACAAGUGAGGAAAAUGUUGACUUAGGGUCAUGGAAGAAAGAUGUUCUCUGGAUGUUGGAUGUGUGGCAAAAUCCAAAUACACCAAUGUGGGCAGGAUGGAAUGCAGAGAGUUUAUGACUGUAGAAAACAGAUGAAAGUUUGGUAUUUGCCACAAAUAAACCAAUCACCCACAUCAAAUGCUGUCGUUGUUGAAACAAUGAAAAGGUCACAGAAAUUAGCAGAGGAGUCCAACAAGUCUUGCAUGGUUGUCACCUACGACCUAGCCAUAGCAAAAAUAGCUUUGCAAAUACAAGCCCAGGAAAAGCCGGUAUUUGACAAUCUCUUCAUUUCACUUGGGUCAUUCCAUGUGGAGAAAGCAUAUUUUUGUGUCAUUGGGAAGCUGAUCGCUGAAUCUGGUGCCCCGCACAUAUUGAAUGAGUGCGGUGCACUAGCAGUGGGCUCUAUAAACGGAUUUAUCAAAGGAAAGCAUUACAACCGCUGCAAGAGAAUACACGAACUGCUAGCGGUUUCUCUGGAAAUACUCUUUUUUGAAUGGUUUCAAAAAAGCCAAAACAACCCUGACAUAGUACCAGUGCUUCAGAAUGAGCUAAAAUGCAUCAGUGAUUCUCCAGAUAUCAACAGAUACCAACAUUCAAAGGAAGGAAACGACAUAUUGGAAAGAUACAGAGACUUCUAUGAAAAAACACUGGCCGGGGACAAUGGAAAAACUGCACAGUUUUGGUGUAGCUACAUCAGCCUGAUGCACCUGUACCACAGAUACAGCCGCAGUGUCAGAACCGGAGACUUGGAGGGGUACACAAACACAUUGCUGCAAAUGGCAAACUAUUUCUUCGCCUUGAACCAUCACAACUAUGCCCGCUGGACAGUAAAGUAUCACGAUAAUCUACUGAAGCUUAAAGAAACACAUCCAGAAAUCUAUGAAGAAUUCAAAGACGGACUGUUUUCUGUUAAGAGAACCAAGAAGCCAUUCUCUGGAAGUCCAAUUGAUCUGACAUUGGAGCAAACUAUAAACAAGGAUGCUGCCAGCCAGCGGAUUGGAAUUGCCGCAAUGACAAACUCCAUAUCUGCAAGGCAAAGAUGGGCCGAAUCUCAUUUCAUUCGGACAUCCAUUCUGUCACAUGUAUUUCAAGAAGCUGGCAUGCAUAAAAAAGAAGAUGUAACACAUGGGCUGAAGAAGCAUGCAAUUAGGAAGGACAACAAAACAGUCAAGGACAUAAUCUACAUGAUAAAAGAAACAAUGAAUCCAUUCACUGAAGACAUAGACUCCAAACAUCUGUACAAUAUUGGGACUGGAAAAACUGCUCCAGAGGAAGUAGAAAGCUUUCUCCUCAAUGUCAGGGAAGCAGGUGAAGUCCAGAGAAAGAAGUUCAUGAAUGAGUGCCGCCAAGAGCCUGGAAGGUUUCUAGCAAAGAUUACUCGGCAAGAGGUGUCAACAUUUGCAACUGCAGGAACAAAAUCAAAGAAAACAGAUGUAAAAAGAGUGGCAGCAUGUAUGGUCCGUGACUUGUUUGGUAGCAUUCUGUAUGCUUCAGUAGAGAAACGCAUCGACUUAGCAGAAGUGCUAAAAUAUCCUCUGACACCUGUACCAUUAUCACUGUCAUGUGGAUGGUACAAUGCUGAAAACACCAAAAUCGGCUCUGAUGCAAUAUCUUGAGAACAAGGUGAAAUCAAACUCUCCGGAACACAUCGAUGUCACCAUAAUCGAUGCAUCAUUUUACUUCCAUCUAUUGCCAGGUGCAGCCCUUCCCACGAAAUUUGGUGGGAUAUCAUCACACAUUUUACGGAAAAUCAUGGCAUCAGAAGGCGAUGAAAUUCACUUCGUGUCUGAUAAAUGGCUAAGUCCAUCAAUCAAAGACUGUGAAAGAGCUGCAAGGGAUGGAUCUGUUGAUUCAUUCAAAAUAACAGGUGGCAAUCAGAAAAGACCAGCCAAUUGGAUGAGUGCUUUACGCAACGCAGGAUUUAAAGAAUCUUUGGUCAAGUACUUGGUUGCUAGUUGGUCAGAUGAUUGCAAUGUGAAACACUUGGGAACCAAAACCUUGUAUGCAAAUGAUGGCGACACCUGCUACAAAUAUGUGGUGGAAGGGAAUUCGGUCAUGAAAUCAGAAGAAUCAAGAUACAGCAAUGACCACGAAGAAGCAGACGCAAGAAUGUUCUUCCAUGUGCACAAGAUAACUGGACAGAAAAACAUAGUGAUAAGAACGAAUGACACUGACUGCUUAGUUAUUGGUCUUGGAUCUCAGUCAAACUUCUGUAAUCACAAGGUUUGGAUAGAUGCAGGACUACUAUACAUUUCAGCGGCAGACAAACGCUGUUUUUCGCAAAUAUCUCCUAAACGAAUCUUUGGAUCAGUAUGAUAUUUCAGCACACUGCCUUUAACACCCGGACCUAAUUUAUGGCUAAUAUACCAUGUUGCAAUAUGUGUUAUGUUAGGAGCUUACUGAGUGAUAUUAAGCCUAAUCCAGUCAUCAUAUCUAAGGUGUUAAACAGAAUCGGACGAGUGUGGGGUACUCCUCUAGCCCCUCCACCAACGCCCCGAACAACCCAAAGACCACUCCUUCCCUACUCCAAUAUCGCAGUAUCCCCCUCCUGGUUGCCCUCUUCACCCCCCCUACUCACACCAUCCCCCUUCCCCAGCCCGAGGCUAUGACUUAAGUAGUGGAAUGUAUGUAAUCGUAUUUACAAUAAUACACGAUGUACAUAUGUAUAUAGUAAUGACUACGUAUUACGCAUGAUAACCAGAUGUAUAGAUGGAGAAAAAUAUAUGCGGUUUAUAAUUUUGGCAAAAUAUAAAUAUGAAAGAGACAAGUCAACAAAAUAACAUUAUAUUAGCUGGACCAAGUUGACAUUUUAUGAUGAAUAUGUACUACACAGUAUGUAAUAACAGUAAUAACUUUUCCUAGAAGGUCCAGACCACAGGUAAUGCCAGUACAUCGUGUUCACUUGGGUGACCAUAAGGACUGCAAACAUGGACCUUCUACAUACUAUAUGUAUGUAAACAUGCUGUUGUACAGUAAUUAUCAACGUGAAAUACGUCUUGCCUCCAUGGAACUGUACCAUGCUCUUAGUUAAUAAUCAUACUAUCUAUACAUAUACACGUACAUAACAUUCUAAUAUAUAAUACAGUGAUGGGAGAAAUAGGGAGGGACACAAGAGUGAUGAGGGAGGCGAGAAGUUCGGGGGAGAAGAGGAGGGAUAACGAGAGCGAGAAGGGGGAGUAGUUGUGGCUAGGAAUAGUUUGGGAGGGUGCCGGGGGGGGGCACACUUUCCUUCGAAUGCGUCAACAUGACUCGUCGGGUUUGUGUUAUUUUUCACAAGUAAACUCGUCACAUAAGACAUAUAGUAAUGUGGUAGGUUAGCCAUAAAUUAGGUCCGGGUAUUAUAGGUAGUGUGCUGAAAUAUCAUACUGAUCCAAAGAUUCGUUUAGGAGAUAUUUGCGAAAAACAGCGUUUGUCUGCCGCUGAAAUGUAUAGUAGUCUCAAACAAUACACGAAGGUACAUCGACAUGACCAAGCUUGCAGCAAACCUAGGCGAGUCAUUGUGUUCAGCGAUGCCCGCAUACCAUGCAUUCACUGGCUGCGACUACACUGCAGCAUUUUCCCGAAAAGGAAAAGUUCGGCCACUAAAGAUCUUGGAGAAGAACGCCAAUUUCCAGAACUCUUUCACAGCCUUAGGGAAGGAACAAACAAUAUCAGAUGAAACUUUUUCAUCAAUUGAGAAGUACACAGCUGAAAUGUACGGUAAAAGGAAAAGUCAAUUCAUCAAUGAUAUACGAUUGGAAUUAUUCCUAGAACGGUACAAACCUUCUGGUAAAUUGGAUGAAGCGCGCAUCAGCUGUUUGAAAAAAAUGGACGGAAGCACCCUUCCACCGUGUCACAAUGUCCUGAAGCAGAAAAUAAAGAGAGUACACCUCAUAGCUAACAGGUGGAAUUCUGUUGACCUUGCUACUCAGAGUCCUAUCUCGCCAACAGAGUCUGGAUGGACUUUGGGAUAUGGUAGUUACCAGAUUCUUUGGACAGAAGGUGACUUGUACCCCAAGACAAUCGACGUGCUGCAGAAUGACAAGGAUGGCUCCGAUGAUGAAGAUAUUAAUGACUGCACAGAUGACUUGGCAAUGGAAAGUGACACUGAUGCAGAUGAUACUACUGACGAUGAAACUGAAAACAGCGAGUGACUGUAAAGACCAAUGAAUACACGUUAACAUAUUGAGAAACAAUAUACUCUUGAAAAAAUAUAUGUAAAAUGUCUUCCAUACUCUAUGCUAUACUAUAUGCAUCAGGUAUUUCCAACGAAUGCUAGUUUUUAUGUCUGCCUUAGUUAUGCUCCUUCUACCUAUAGUAGAAAUCUGAAACCUCUAGGAACAGGUUUUUUUUGUUGUUAUCCUUAGGAACAAAGAUAUGCAAAUUUGGGGGGUCAGCUCACCCUAACUCACCCCCCUUAAAUCCUUAAAUCAAGCCAGUUUAAAUGUCAGCAUCAGUUUAACUAUUUAUUCUACCUAUGGUAGAAAUCUGAAAGUUGUAGGAACAGGUUUUUUUGUUGUUGUUGUUAUCCUUAGGAACAAAGAGAUGUAAGUUUUUGGGGGUCAGCUGACAUUAACUUACCACCCUUUAAUCAUGUCAGUUUAUAUGUCAAUAUUAGUUAAAUUAUUUUCUCUACCUAUGGUAAAAAUCUGAAUGUUGUACGAACAGUUUUUGUUGUUGUUGUUGUUAUCCUUAGGAACAAAGAUGUAAAUUUUGGGGGUCAGCUGACACUAACUUACCACCCUUUAAUCAUGUCAGUUAAUAUGUCAAUAUUAGUUAAGCUACUUAUUCUACCUAUGGUAGAAAUCUGAAUGUUGUACGAACAAUUUAUUUUGUUUUACCCCUAGGAACUAAAUGGGACACAUUUUGGGGGUCAGCUGACUCCAUCUUACCACCAGAAAAAUAAGUCAGUUUUUACUCCAACAUUACUUUUGUUACUUAAAGUAACUAUAUAAUAAAUAUAAAAACUGUAACUCAUAGUUGUCUUUUUUUACCUCACGGGGUCAAAAUGGGCAAAAUUUGGAGGUCAGCUGACCACAUCUUACCA
RNA transcript from Eriocheir sinensis (Chinese mitten crab), 7592 nucleotides. RefSeq lists it as uncharacterized. NCBI's taxonomy places the organism in Eukaryota, Metazoa, Arthropoda, Malacostraca, Decapoda, Varunidae. The record is from RefSeq and is a predicted model, not a curated record. The transcript is spliced from 5 exons.